Octopus sinensis (East Asian common octopus) is the source of this 180-nucleotide long non-coding RNA. RefSeq lists it as uncharacterized. Lineage: Eukaryota; Metazoa; Mollusca; Cephalopoda; Octopoda; Octopodidae. The transcript is spliced from 3 exons. The record is from RefSeq and is a predicted model, not a curated record.
CUUAGUUAACAUUAAGCUAGUGUUAGGAACAUAAAUUGUGACUAAGGUUUGGUGGAAGAUUUUAAUUCAAAACUUAUAAAAACAAGACAUAUGUAUACAGAGCCAGAGCCGGUUUCAGCUGGGCUGGUAAUGAAAUGGUUAAAGUGAGAGAGAGAGACAGAGACAGAGAGAGAGGAGGAG